This 27-nucleotide small RNA is filed under the name Bombyx mori (domestic silkworm). RNAcentral's name for it is "ovarian small RNA-22083". The record is from RNAcentral. Lineage: Eukaryota; Metazoa; Arthropoda; Insecta; Lepidoptera; Bombycidae.
UAGAUAGCAAUAAGCGUUCGGGAAGCA